Molecule: ribosomal RNA, 736 nt
Filed under: uncultured Actinomycetes bacterium
Lineage: Bacteria; Bacillati; Actinomycetota; Actinomycetes
Description: bacterial SSU rRNA
Rfam family: Bacterial small subunit ribosomal RNA
Source: RNAcentral
GCUUUCGGGCUGUAAACCGCUUUCAGCAGGAACGAAAAUGACGGUACCUGCAGAAGAAGGAGCGGCCAACUAUGUGCCAGCAGCCGCGGUGAUACAUAGGCUUCAAGCGUUGUCCGGAUUUAUUGGGCGUAAAGAGUUCGUAGGCGGUCGAGUAAGUCGGGUGUGAAAAUUCUGGGCUCAACCCAGAGACGCCACCCGAUACUGCUUAACUUGAGUUCGACAGGGGAGUGGGGAAUUCCUAGUGUAGCGGUGAAAUGCGCAGAUAUUAGGAGGAACACCGGUGGCGAAGGCGCCACUCUGGAUCGAUACUUGACGCUGAGGAACGAAAGCAUGGGUAGCAAACAGGAUUAGAUACCCUGGUAGUCCAUGCCGUAAACGGUGGGCACUAGGUGUGGGAUUCUAUUAACGAAUUCCGCGCCGUCGCUAACGCAUUAAGUGCCCCGCCUGGGGAGUACGGUCGCAAGACUAAAAACUCCAAAGGAAUUGACGGGGGGCCCGCACAAGCCAGCGGGAGCGUGUUGCUUAAUUCGAUGCUACGCCGAAAAAACCUUUACCUAGGGUUUGACAUGUUUUGGAAAAAGCAGCCAGAAGAUGUUGUGUUCCCGCAAGGGGCCCAAACACAGGGUGGGUGGCAUGGCUGUCGUUCAGCUCCGUGUCCGUGAGAAUGUUGGGGUUGAGUCCCGCAACGAGCGCAACCCCACGUCUUUAGUUGCCAGCAUUUAGUUGGGCACUCUAA